GAUCAUUUUUGCAAAGCAACUUCAUUGUGGCCGAACCGGAUUCUUGGUGCUAUGGUUGGAGAGAGUAAGGCUGGUGAAGUCUGGCCAUGUGAUUAGCCACUGUCCUGCUGAUCAAGAAUCACUGCUUUUGGUCUUCAGGAGUGACUCGGAAACCCAUCUCAGAGGGUGAUGGAAGACCUAGGACCUUCUCACUUGUGUGGCAGCAAAGAGAUCCUGCAUUUUACGGACUCAUUGCGUGUGGAGACCCAUGACUCCUCCACGGCGUUUUCAAACUCAGCCAAAUUCCCACUUUUGAAAUGUUACAAGACCAUUUCAGUUUCCAUGAAGGUGUAUAUGUUGCUACUGUAUCCAUCAUCUAUUCUAUUGGAUUUUAAACUUUCUGUUGUGAUGAAAUAUCACCUCAGAUAUGCAGAUGACACCACCCUUACGGCAGAAAGUGAA
This 441-nucleotide long non-coding RNA is filed under the name Bos indicus x Bos taurus (hybrid cattle). RNAcentral's name for it is "lncRNA (ENSBIXG00005024793.1)". The record is from RNAcentral. Lineage: Eukaryota; Metazoa; Chordata; Mammalia; Artiodactyla; Bovidae.